UACGGAGGGUGCGAGCGUUAUCCGGAUUCACUGGGUUUAAAGGGUGCGUAGGUGGGAAUGUAAGUCAGUGGUGAAAUCUCUGAGCUUAGCUCAGAAACUGCCAUUGAUACUAUGUUUCUUGAAUUUUCUGGAGGUCAGCGGAAUAUGUCAUGUAGCGGUGAAAUGCUUAGAUAUGACAUAGAACACCAAUUGCGAAGGCAGCUGGCUACAGGGAUAUUGACACUGAGGCACGAAAGCGUGGGGAUCAAACAGG
Molecule: ribosomal RNA, 253 nt
Filed under: uncultured bacterium
Lineage: Bacteria
Description: partial 16S ribosomal RNA
Rfam family: Bacterial small subunit ribosomal RNA
Source: RNAcentral